Molecule: long non-coding RNA, 411 nt
Filed under: Felis catus (domestic cat)
Lineage: Eukaryota; Metazoa; Chordata; Mammalia; Carnivora; Felidae
Description: lncRNA (ENSFCAG00000051055.1)
Source: RNAcentral
UAGCUUACCCAAGAGUCUACUGUGUAGCCAAGAAGGUGAACCUGAGGAGUGAAGAUUUCAAGAAACACCAAGGACAUCUCUACCAUUGAGGAGAUUAUCAGCUCUGUCCAGAGCCUCCUUUCAGAACAGUUUAAAAAUAUAAGAAGACAAACCAAAUAUAUACCUCCUACGGUUCAGGUACCAUAAUAAUGGCAAAGUUGCAGAAGCAUGGGAGAUGCUGAAUCACGAGGCAGUCCAAAAUUGGAGCUCCAGGGAAUAAGCUACUAGGUGCCACCUUGCACUACAGUUUUCAAGAACUUGGAAAGGGGAAAUUUCCAUCUUGAUUGUUGCCUUUGCAGUAUACUCAGCUGCCAAGACAUGACUCAAAGAAAUGAAAAGAGUGACCACCGAUAUAUGAAGAAGGAACUUUGA